This 213-nucleotide unclassified non-coding RNA is filed under the name uncultured fungus. RNAcentral describes it as "sequence contains ITS1". Lineage: Eukaryota; Fungi. The record is from RNAcentral.
UUGAUUUAUUUUGUUUGUUUACUCAGAUGAUUUACGAAAACAAGAGUUUAUAGGGGCCACCGGCCGGUCUGCUCCUCUAUAGAUAGAGGGACUUUCGAAAAAGCCAACCACUGCCGAGGCAACAUUAAGUAAGAUUCACAAAGGGUUUCUGGGGUAGCGCCCGUGAGGACGCUAGUUCCAGCAAUGAUCCCUCCGCUGGUUCACCAACGGAGA